GGGGUUGUAGCUCAGUGGUAGAGCACUUGCCUAGCAUGUGUGAGGCACUGGGAUCCAUUCUCAGCAACACAU
This is a non-coding RNA of Ictidomys tridecemlineatus (thirteen-lined ground squirrel), 72 nucleotides long. NCBI's taxonomy places the organism in Eukaryota, Metazoa, Chordata, Mammalia, Rodentia, Sciuridae. The record is from Rfam.